Molecule: small nucleolar RNA, 132 nt
Organism: Catagonus wagneri (Chacoan peccary)
Lineage: Eukaryota; Metazoa; Chordata; Mammalia; Artiodactyla; Tayassuidae
Source: Ensembl
UAGGCCCUGAAUCAAGACCAGUAGUUUGCAGUAGCUGUUGGUUUCAAACAGGAGCCAAAAGCAGUGUCUUCCUAUGAUCUGUUGGCUUCAGCACCCCAGUGGGAAUGGCCAAUUCAAUUGAAAGAAACAUAA